Molecule: ribosomal RNA, 425 nt
Filed under: uncultured prokaryote
Description: bacterial SSU rRNA
Rfam family: Bacterial small subunit ribosomal RNA
Source: RNAcentral
AACCUUACCUACUCUUGACAUCCAGAGAACUUAGCAGAGAUGCUUUGGUGCCUUCGGGAACUCUGAGACAGGUGCUGCAUGGCUGCCGUCAGCUCGUGUUGUGAAAUGUUGGGUUAAGUCCCGCAACGAGCGCAACCCUUAUCCUUUGUUGCCAGCGGUUAGGCCGGGAACUCAAAGGAGACUGCCAGUGAUAAACUGGAGGAAGGUGGGGAUGACGUCAAGUCAUCAUGGCCCUUACGAGUAGGGCUACACACGUGCUACAAUGGCGCAUACAAAGAGAAGCGACCUCGCGAGAGCAAGCGGACCUCAUAAAGUUGUUCUCAGUUCGGAUUGUAGUCUGCAACUCGACUACAUGAAGCUGGAAUCGCUAGUAAUCGUAGAUCAGCAUGCUACGGUGAAUACGUUCCCGGGUCUUGUACACACCG